GGGGAUGUAGCUCAGUUGCUAGAGUGCUUGUCUCCUGUGCACAAAGCCCUGGGUUCGAUCCCCAGCACCA
Molecule: transfer RNA, 70 nt
Filed under: Ictidomys tridecemlineatus (thirteen-lined ground squirrel)
Lineage: Eukaryota; Metazoa; Chordata; Mammalia; Rodentia; Sciuridae
Also listed under: 1 other name
Description: Spermophilus tridecemlineatus (thirteen-lined ground squirrel) tRNA
Rfam family: tRNA
About the family: Transfer RNA (tRNA) molecules are approximately 80 nucleotides in length. Their secondary structure includes four short double-helical elements and three loops (D, anti-codon, and T loops).
Source: Rfam by way of RNAcentral